Long non-coding RNA from Pseudopipra pipra, 8046 nucleotides. RefSeq lists it as uncharacterized. The record is from RefSeq and is a predicted model, not a curated record. The transcript has 3 exons. Lineage: Eukaryota; Metazoa; Chordata; Aves; Passeriformes; Pipridae.
ACGGUGAGGAGGACAAGGCUUUCUCUGUGCUCCAGAGGGUAUCUGGCAGCAGUUAUUCCCUGAACUGUGUUGGCAAGCCUUCCAGUUACUGGCCAUCAUGUCCUCUGUUUAGUAUCAAUCCUAUUCAUUAUCUGAGCAGAAAUAAAAAUGAAUCCUUCUGCUCAUUUAGUUGUGCUUAAACAGGGUCUUUUCCUGGCAAAAUAAUGGUAGUAACAGAAGGAAUUUUUUUCCAACUCCUGGCUUCUGUAGCCGGCCUGAGAGGAAUUUCCAGUGUAGACCUGGGAACAGGUCUACAGGCAGGAGGUUUAUAUCAGUCCUCAAGUUUCACAGCUGGGAUCCAGAAACAAUUUUUCUCUUCGUUGCCAAAUAGCAGAGCUUAAUUUUUUUUUUUUUUUUUGGGGGGGGGCAGAUCUUUCUUUUGAAUUUCCUUCACUAUGUACUCCAGCCAUGUCCAGGGAAGCCCCUAGACUUUGGUCUGGUUGCACUGUCAGUGCUGCUGUUUUGUUUGAUGCAGAUGGGAAGCAGUUCAGGAGGAACUUAGGUGUGAACAGGUGGCUAAACCCACACCUCUGAGAGCUGAAGAGGACAGCUCUGUUCACUCCUGACCUGUAAAACAGAGUGACUAACUCAGAUUAGAUUUGAAGUGUCUCUGUAGUGAGAGAAGAUAAGAUUUGUGUUGCUUGUUUAGGGAAAAACAAAUUAGAUGCAGUGAAAGGCCUGAAGGGAAGGAGGGAAGACUAUCCUGAGAAAGACAAUACAUUCGGUAUUGCCCUGACCCUGUAAAAGAGAAAGGGGGCAGCGACAGCUGAUCUAGAUUAGAUCCAGAGAGAGGGUUGGGACUUCAAUAAGAUCAUCUUCAAAGCUUAAGCCCUGAUUUCAAUAUUUGUUUUCUCAUCUUGGGCAGUAGCUGGCUUGAGGAUACUGCUUCAGGCACACCUUGAAUACAAAAUAGCGUGAAAUUCAAAGUGAUCAAAGAAAUAGAUAAGAAUAAGUCACUCGGGAGGUGAGAACUUUAACCAACACUGAAAUUAUACAGAAAUUCCAAGAUCAGUCAAGUAGGAUGUCUUAACAUAUUUUAUCAUGGCUAAAUGCCUGUUACUGUGGGCCUUUCUAGCAAGUGUCUUUUGAUACACUAGAAAGAAUCAGCAAAAGAGCAGUUCUCAUGGCUCUUUGAAAAACUCCUAGUUUUUAAAAACUGAAGUAAGAGUUGAAUUCCUGCCUGAAAUCCUGUAUCACAGACUGUGUCUCACAGGGUGAAACCCUGUGUUCAAACAUGUGCACAUCUUCACUAUACCCAAGCCCUUUGUUGUUAUGGAUUAUUCCUUUUAGAGGUCCCUGAGGACUUUUAAGUAAUUUUCUUAUAAUUAGGGGUACAUGGUGAAGCAUGCACAACAGCACUCAAAAUGUUCCUCAUGCUGCAUUAGCUGGCACACUCCUUCUAAGGGGCAUCUGGUUUGGGCUGAAGGGUUUUUCUAGUUCAUGUUUGUAGAGCUUGUCUUACAUCAAAAGAGAACCAAGAAAAAAGGGAACAAAAUCUUAAAACCAUUCUCUUUCCUCUGCCGCUACUGUGAAAUAUGUUCCCAAGAAUGAGAGCAGGUCAAAUUAUUCAGCGUUGGUAUAUAAGUGCUUUGGGAAGGGUUACUAGGGCAUUUCCAUUAUUUGCUGUGGUUGUUCAGUGGUUGUGACAUUUAGAGGGUACUUUGAAGAAAAUAGCCCAGCUGGUAAAUGACAGCAGAGAAAGGGGAAGGAAAGCAAAUGGAGAGGAGGGAAAUUCACACAGAUUUCCUGACAAGAUGAAAGGGUAAAGAAAACUCAGUGAGUUCUUAUUCAAAAACCAUUUUGGUGGCCUCUGUUUGAAUGAGAGAACUGUUUCUUAGCAUGCUUAGCAACUACUUGGUCCCGUCCAGGAGUACACUCCACCAAAUGUCUGCUGUGUUUAACACCACAGUCAACUUUGUAAUGUGUGAUGAGAAUUAUUUUUACAGCUGAGCUUCUUAAGAGAGGCCCACGUGGUGUGUAAGUCCUGGUGGGUUUUAACACACCUCUGUUGCAUUAAAGAGGGAAACACUGAUCUUCACCAGGACUUUUAAGGUACACAAAAGUAUUAACAUCCAAUGUUUAAACCAGAUGAGAAGCAGCCUGAGAACCUGGUGUCCUCCACAGGGAACCCAGUGUGUGCAUGUGGGGAGACAAGGACAAUGACAGUACUUUCUCUGCUGAUUCUCAGCACAGUUUUGGUCAUAUCGCCUUUCCCAUAUGUCCUCCGGUGUCACAACCUGCAAAGGAGACAAAAUAGUGAUUUCUACACCAGAUGGACACUGUGAGAAUGUAGCAUUUGUACACAGCUUUAGUAAAAGUUUCAGUAAGUCUCAGUGCUCUGAUAUCAGGUGAUGGCAUAAAUAUUUCUUGGUACUUAAAUAAAAACGGUGAGUUUGGAGACAAAAUAUAAGUGUGGCAUGGAAGAGAUUCUUGUGGCAGGAGCGCAUUCCUAUUUGGAGUGUGACUUUGAGAAAAUUGCUUAACCUGUCUUCUAUGUGUUUAUUUCCCAACUCUAAAGCCAUGUUGAUAUGUUGUUGCCUUGUUUGCUGGAUUGCAUGAGCAAAUUAAUCAACCUCUGGGAGAAAUUCAGAUAUUACAGUGAUAUAAAUAGAGCUGGCCAGGAAACUUCUCAAAUCCUUCAACUUUAUUGCACAUCAAGAUAAAACAAUCUUUCAAAGGUUGUUUAGUGGAUCGGUAAUUAAAAUAAAUACAUACAUAGAACAAACAUCAUUUUGGCAGUAAGUGUGCUCCCAAGGGAUGUGGAUUCAUAUUCAAAUUGCCAUUAACUACAUAGAGGGUCUUGAACCUGGGGCUUUCCUUUCCUGGAAAACUGUUCAGAGUUGGGGUACUUGGUUAACAAAAGCUGCUUGUGUUAAAAUUAAAAAAAAAAAAACCAACAUGGAAAUCUGACUGGCUCUGAACAUAGUAAGAAUACAAGGAAUGUUAUUCAGAAGUGCAAAAUUUAAAUAUGGACCAACCUCACAGAGAAAGCAAGGUGCGAGGAGCAAGAAGAGAAGAAAAAAAAGGAAGGGAACACAAAAAGGCCUGCAUAUCUAUCACCAAAUGUGUCUUUUCCAAAGCAUGUGGAAAAAAAGCAUCAUGAAGAGUGCAACACAGCAGGCUAGGUGUAGAUUGAAUACAUAAACCCAUCCCCAAAGCACUGAAUAGUGAGGUGUGAAAGAGAGAAAUUUAGAGAAAGGAGAGCUAUGUCAGCAGUAGCAUGAAAACCUAGAGACUAACAUGGCCUUGUUUAAGAGAAAUUAGAGGCAAGGAGAGAGGGGAGGGAGAAAGUGUUGAUGCACUAUAAGAUUAUCACACAUUUCUAAAGAGGUCUGAAAGAACUGACUUCCUGCUGUGGGGUUCCUCUCAUAUUGGUGUGAACAAGCAUCACACUAUCACCUGCAAAGUCUUUAAGUGCAAGUGGUGACACUUCAGUAUUCACAGCCUGCCUUAGAAAAUCCCGGGGAAGCAAAAGAAAGAUGAAAACCAUGCAAGUCAAAAGGGUGUUGCUCCCAUUGUUCUCCUUGCUGCUUGGUUAACUGGGAAUCCCUUUGAGCAACAGAGAGGUCACAUCUGCCCAGAUGUGCUCUGCUUGCACCCCAGUGCAGGGUAGUGUGGAAGCAGCUCCCUAUAAACCCCUUUCAUGAUAACAGUACAAUGAAAUCACCCUGCUUGGCAGGAUGCCAGUUCUCACCACAAAAGCAUGAUUUUAGCAGAAUAUAUAUGUGCAAGAAGAAUACCUGUGGAAGAUGAUUACCCUGUGACAUGGCAGCACAGUCCCUUUUACAGGAUGGGUAGGACUGAAACCACUCAGGAAUCCAUAAAGUCCUUGUUCAGUUCAAGACAGUCCUAAGACUGAACCUGAGUUACCAAAGAUAAGAAAGGGUGCAUCUAGACCCUCUCCAGGUAGGACCUUGGUCAUGAUUGAUGCACCCCUGGCCAUGAGCUCCUGCCAGUCCCGGCCCACUGGUGUGAGGAUUGAAUUUGCUAUCAAGAACAUGAAGAUCUGAAGCUGAAGGAAGCCACUGUGGCUGUGACAGGAAGGACCCUGAGCUUCACAGUAAAACAACAAUAAACAGGUCAUGCACCAAAAACAGAGGGGAAAGGAAAAUUAGCCUGAGUUUUUGACACCAGGUAAAAUAAUUUAUAGAUAGGGUCACUGGAAGAUAAUGCUGAACUCAAGAAAGGUAUUAGCCAUGUCCAUGUGUUUUGCUGCAUAUGUUUCAUACCUUGUAGACAAUGCAGGACCACUGAGCUCUCCAAAGAGAAGCUUGCCUUCUGAGGGGCACUAUGCUGUCUCCAGCAUGAAGCCAUGGGCUGCCAGUUCAGCCCUGUUAUUGUACUGUGUAACAAGAACCUGGAACAAGCAGGGCUAAUCAAAGUCCUUUAUUUAGAUGAUACAAUACGAAUAACAAAGCCCCGCUUAUUUUCCGCAAAGGGAUGUGUGAGAGGAUUUCUUUUGGAGGCAUGGGGAGUAUGCUCUGAGUAUAUCUUGUCUAGUUUUAAUGCUUAUUUCUGGUUUGGAUAACCUCAUUCAUGUGAUGUCCAAUCCCAUAAAAAGGACAGAAGUAAGGAUGAAAACUAACUUUGUGAUCCACAACCCUACAAUAUCCCACAGGCAUUUUCAACAAUAAAAAAGCUGUUCAUGUUCUUAAUUCUUCAUGAGAGACAAGAUGUUGUUUAUAACCACCACCAAAAAAAAAAAAAAAUCAAGCAAACUGCAAAUGCUUUACUUUUCACUAUUAUUAACUGCUCCCCAGCAAAUCAGCCCAUUUCUCUUCUGAAACAGUGAGAUGUGCCUAGCUGACACUUAAUAAAGAGAUGUUUGAGCUUGCCUAGCCUACAUUUCAGGAAAAAGUUAUUUUCCUCAGUUUAAUGAAAAUUCACUUUUUUUUGGUCCUUCUUUAUUCAUUUAUUUUUGAGGCCUUCCACCUCUGUUAACUGUGGGAAAAGACUUCACUUUGCCAGGGUACAGCAUGCAUUGUAAAAGUAAUUCAAUUUUACACCAUAGCAAUGACAUGAUCAAGGGAACUUUGAGCAGGCUUUGUGACCAAGAGCAUUUAACAAGUAUGUGAAAAGCUUCCAAAGAGCCCUCAUGAAAGAAAGAAAGGUUAUAACAAUAGGAGAGGCAGUUUGAUAGUGGUAAAUUAAGAGUCAUAGGAGUGACUCUAAUCAGGUUAAGCUUUAAAGAAAGAGAAGCACCUUUAUAUUUCUUGGGUAUAGGCCUGAGUGCAUUAAGAACUGUUGAAUUUGUGUUGGGAAGUACACAAAUCCCUGUGGCACUCAGCACUUGCUCCUCUUCGGGCUGAAGAAUUCAGCCCUGCAAGGAGAAAGACUUUCUAGGCAAAAUAAGUAAAACCUCAGAGUCGGACUGAGUAUCUUGGGAGAAGAAUAUUGAGUAUUUCUUAGUUUUAGUCAAUACCUAGACCUCUUUAGAAGUCAUCAUAUUCCAUUUUGUUCCCUGUGGAAACCUUCUGGCAAUGCCAGUGUAAACGUGGGGACCGUCUGGUGCAUAAAAGCAAUGAUGAACCAUUCACACACAUUACUAGUUUUUAAGAUCUGUGCAGCCUGUGAUAGAUUCUGCCCUGAGCUAUACAGUGAAGUACAUGUACCUCAUGCAAAUGACACAUAUUUAUACAUACUGUGUGUAUUCAUAUGCAUAUCAGGUAAAAUGGUUCUGGGCAUAUCAUUAAAACUUAGAGUUGGUAAAGAGUGUGCAUAGAGAUGUAUGCUUUAACAGAGAAUCCAGCUAUCUAAAAAAAUAACACAGAAACAAAUAGGUUAUCAAGUUGCUAGGUCUAGUUUUGUUGUUUCUCACAUAUGGCUUAAUCAACACCUUUUACAUAUCUAUCGCUGUGAAAAAUGCUCAGGAUUUAUUUUGCCCAGGAAAAUUAUUAUAACUUUGUUGGAAAAAAGUAAGACAUUACAAAGCUGGGGCUGCCUCAGUUUUGCAAUCGACAGGGACACCUACAGGAAGACAAAAUUAACACAUUGGCAUAUUGGGUGUUUUCUGCUUUAUUUGUUCACAGCUUGAGCCUAUUACCUAAUAGAGACACGAGAAAAUGGCCCAUCUGUUUGCAGUGGGCAAAUGUGUGAGUAGUACUCUCUGGAGCUGCAUGGGAGAAGGGUUGCUUUUCAAGAACGUAUUUACUUUACUCUCUGUUUUCUCAACGGUGUGUAUAACUCAAUACUAAAAGGCUAAUUUGUUUAAGAAAACCAAACCUGACUUCUUCAGUUAAUUGCUUACAGAAGAGCUGUACGUAUUGCAUGGGUUCUGUGUGCUUUGCUGAGUGGACUGGAGUGGCCUCCACUAUGUGACCAGUGAGGAUGUGUAAAAGCCAGCUCGAUGGCAGCAAACCACUCAUUGUUCCUGUCCUGCUUGCUCUGGUGGGGCUGCAGCUCUUGGAAAAGUUCAAGGAUGUGUAAGGAGUGGGAGAGAGAUGAAAGUCUGUCUAUCAAGGGAUGGGGAUGAAGCAGCUGGGAGGGAAAGUCUGCUCAGGGGCACAUGGGAUUUGGGAUAUGAUUAAUGCUUUGGCAAAAUGUUAACAAGAACAGGAUCUGGCAACUGAGAGGAAAUGCCUAUGUGUUCUCUUGCAAUCAGCCUUGAGCUGGAAUAGGAGCCUAUGCUCGUGCCAAAGUGAAUUCAAGCAUUUGCAUGUACAUGAGUGGAAACACGCUGUAAUAGAAAACAUGGAAUUUGGAGACCUGCAUCCUGCUGGACCUAUUCCUCUAGUGGGAGCUGGGUCUUCUUUGCAGCUCCUUUUAUCAGGAGAGAGACAGAAGAGAGUUUUGGUAAACAGCAGCACACUCUCCAAACAAUAUCAACAGUCAAUGUAUCUUCUUCUCAGAAACUUUGCCACUCAGGCUUAUUAAACAAUUUUUAAAUCUCCUUCAGUAGAAAUCACUGAUGCCAGAGGUAGCCUUUACUUCUCUCUAGUCUGCAGGGACAGAACUGCUUGAAGGUAUUAGCUAUGCUAAGCCUCUUAAAUAACUAUUAAACACAUAAAACUCUUAAAUGCACACAAAUCCUGUGUAGCAAAAGGCAAACAAUAAGGAAAAGCUGAUCAACCAUUAUACAGCAAUUUAAUCUAUGCAAUUUGCAUAAUUUUGCCCAACAGAAGGAGGCUGGAGCAGAACUGCCUUCUGAAGAAAGACAGAAAUCCUGUACCAAACAGUGGACUUAUGUGUUGGCAUCCUGUACCUGAGCUUCAACUGCAGACAAACUGCAGCUACCUGCAACAUCUGUGCAUGUGUGGCACCUUCACACCUGGAGAGAUUGAAGAGUGGUGACUUCUAAGCAGUCUGCUUUACAAAUGGCCACAAGGCAAAUGAGCCACUGGUACCAGGACUCAGGACCACUCCAUGCAAUAGCCUCUGGGGCUCCUACAGAAACUGUUUUCUCUAGUUUACAGUCUGUAAGGAAUAUCCACUAUUAUGUUCCCAGCAAUCUGAUGGCCAUCAAUGCCUUGAUGAUAAACUGGAAAUCUUCACCUUCUUCUGUCCUCACCCCUCAAAUGACCCAUGAAAGAGUCUUGGAGAUCAAAGAAAUCUUCUUCCAUCCUUAUCCUUUGGACAGAAAAACUGAUGGGAUUUAGCACCCAUGUGGGAAUAUGAGCAUUGGUAACUGGGGAGUGGUAGGGGUGGAAAAUGGUUGGGGGAGGUGGUGGUGGAGGAGCCCAGAAGAUGAAUUACCUGGGGAGGAGGUACAUACUGAAUUGUGGUUUCCAUAACAAGUGUGAGAGGACAGAAGAGAAAUUACUUCCGCUGCCCCAAAUAAAGAUCAAGGAGUAUUUGCAUUCAAAGGGGUUGGGUUGUGCACAUACCUCUUCAGUCACCUUCUUUUAACUGGAAAUCCUCACUAAUUAAUUGCUCUGUAAAUUCUGCUUCUGCACAUCAUAUAACUUGAAGGGCUUGCUUGUUUCUCCAGUACUCACCGCAUGUGUUCCUUGCCCUUGUGUUUUGCUCUCCAAAGCCAAAUUAAAACUAUAAAGGAGUUAGAUGAGAAAA